This 271-nucleotide ribosomal RNA is filed under the name uncultured bacterium. RNAcentral's name for it is "partial 16S ribosomal RNA". It matches the Rfam family "Bacterial small subunit ribosomal RNA", at positions 524 to 794 of the family's 1533-position model. The record is from RNAcentral.
UACGGAGGGUGCGAGCGUUAAUCGGAAUUACUGGGCGUAAAGCGCAUGCAGGUGGUUUGUUAAGUCAGAUGUGAAAGCCCGGGGCUCAACCUCGGAAUAGCAUUUGAAACUGGCAGACUAGAGUACUGUAGAGGGGGGUAGAAUUUCAGGUGUAGCGGUGAAAUGCGUAGAGAUCUGAAGGAAUACCGGUGGCGAAGGCGGCCCCCUGGACAGAUACUGACACUCAGAUGCGAAAGCGUGGGGAGCAAACAGGAUUAGAUACCCCGGUAGU